GUGGCGAACGGGUGAGUAACACGUGAGCAACCUACCCUAGACUCUGGAANANNNAUGGGAAACGAUGGCUAAUACCGGAUACGAGACGUGCANGCAUGUGUGGCGUCUGGAAAGAUUUAUCGGUCUGGGAUGGGCUCGCGGCCUAUCAGCUUGUUGGUGGGGUAGUGGCCUACCAAGGCGACGACGGGUAGCCGGCCUGAGAGGGCGACCGGCCACACUGGGACUGAGAUACGGCCCAGACUCCUACGGGAGGCAGCAGUGGGGAAUAUUGCACAAUGGGCGCAAGCCUGAUGCAGCGACGCCGCGUGAGGGAUGACGGCCUUCGGGUUGUAAACCUCUUUCAGCAGGGAAGAAGCGAAAGUGACGGUACCUGCAGAAGAAGCGCCGGCUAACUACGUGCCAGCAGCCGCGGUAAUACGUAGGGCGCAAGCGUUGUCCGGAAUUAUUGGGCGUAAAGAGCUCGUAGGCGGUUUGUCGCGUCUGCUGUGAAAACCUAAGGCUCAACCUUGGGCUUGCAGUGGGUACGGGCAGACUAGAGUGCGGUAGGGGUGACUGGAAUUCCUGGUGUAGCGGUGGAAUGCGCAGAUAUCAGGAGGAACACCGAUGGCGAAGGCAGGUCACUGGGCCGCAACUGACGCUGAGGAGCGAAAGCAUGGGGAGCGAACAGGAUUAGAUACCCUGGUAGUCCAUGCCGUAAACGUUGGGCACUAGGUGUGGGGCUCAUUCCACGAGUUCCGUGCCGCAGCAAACGCAUUAAGUGCCCCGCCUGGGGAGUACGGCCGCAAGGCUAAAACUCAAAGAAAUUGACGGGGGCCCGCACAAGCGGCGGAGCAUGCGGAUUAAUUCGAUGCAACGCGAAGAACCUUACCAAGGCUUGACAUA
RNAcentral lists this ribosomal RNA (882 nucleotides) under Cellulomonas sp. CNRB15. RNAcentral describes it as "bacterial SSU rRNA". It matches the Rfam family "Bacterial small subunit ribosomal RNA", at positions 95 to 988 of the family's 1533-position model. The record is from RNAcentral. Lineage: Bacteria; Bacillati; Actinomycetota; Actinomycetes; Micrococcales; Cellulomonadaceae.